GCAGGGGACCAUUUGAUACCUAAGUUAGUAGUAUGUCUUAUUGUGAGGCGAUCAAAAAUAAUUAAACUGGUCUGACUAAUAAUGUAGAUGUGGUGAGAUCAGAUAUUGAUUCACAGGAAUCUUGAUAGUUGUUUUGAAAGUGAGAUUAAAGUAAAUUGUAGAAAAAUAAUGAUGGUCUAAUUAACUAAAAGAUUAAACUAA
Molecule: long non-coding RNA, 201 nt
Filed under: Elaeis guineensis (African oil palm)
Lineage: Eukaryota; Viridiplantae; Streptophyta; Magnoliopsida; Arecales; Arecaceae
Description: long non-coding RNA (EGUI_LNC057938)
Source: RNAcentral